GCCUGGCUGCCCGCGCCCAAACCCGCACUUCCCCAAGUCCGCAAAGGUCAGCAAGGGGCAGAGCGCGCUCUGAAGACACCGCUGGCCAGUAUCCGGCCGCCCGCGCCAGGAAGGACCCCCAGAAGCAAGCAGGAGGAGGAAAGGGAAGUCUGGGGCUCGCCUAAGACCCCCCCCCUUUCCUGCUGCCGGGGUAACUACCUAACGGAGGCGGGAGGUGAAGGAUGGAAUUGGGGCUUGCGGUGCAGCGCAAAUGCUAAGCACAGGACUCGGUAACACAUGUCGCCUGUGUCAGUAAAAGUACCACCCACCGCCUAGUCGUUUAAGCCACAAAACAGGAGUUAGCCGACUUGCUCCCUGACCCACCUUCCACAUCCAACCUAGAGAGCCCGUGGACCCUAACCUUAAAGACCUCUCAUCUUCAUCCACUGCCGUGCCGAAGCCCAGGUCAUCAGCAACUGCGCCUCCGCUCCAGCAACCCUUUCAGUCUGGCUUUUUUAAAGAUUUUAUUUUUAAGUCAUCUCUACACCCAACAUAGGGCUCGCGCUUGCAGCCCCAGACCAAGAGUCCCAUGCUCCACCCACUGAGCAAGCCAGCCGCCCCUCUCAACCUGGCCUUUCUGAUUCCACCUGUGCACAUGUCCCCACGGUCCAGUCAGAAUGAUCUUCUGGAAACAGAAUGAUCAGACCGCUCCCCUGACAAGCUUCCCAUGACCCCUGGGCAAAUAUACAAACUCCCGACAAUGCCACCGAGUCUGUCUAGGCCCCACCUGCAGCCCCAGCCUCUCUCUUCUCUAUGCUUUCACCAUGGUGACCUCUUCACGCCCAUUAACACCCCAUGUUCUCCCAUCUCAAGUUUCUCCUGGGCCUGGAACAUUCCCCUGGCUUGGCCUAUCUAACUAAUUCUUUAGAUUAUGGCUUAAUGGUCACUUCCUGGGGGAAGGCUCCUUGCCUGAUUCCAGCAAUAAAUCCCCUUGCUAUGUGAUCUGUAUAUCUGAGUUGCCUUUCGAUGAAACUCAUGAAGAUGUGUCUGUUUUGGGGGCGCCCGGGUGGCUCAGUCAGUUGAGCAUCUUCCUUCAGCUCCACACAUGAUCCGGGGUCCUGGGAUCGAGCCCCACACUGGGCUCCCACUCGGCGGGAA
This is a long non-coding RNA of Ailuropoda melanoleuca (giant panda), 1137 nucleotides long. RefSeq lists it as uncharacterized. The record is from RefSeq and is a predicted model, not a curated record. NCBI's taxonomy places the organism in Eukaryota, Metazoa, Chordata, Mammalia, Carnivora, Ursidae. The transcript has 3 exons.